Molecule: ribosomal RNA, 390 nt
Filed under: Thaumatomastix sp.
Lineage: Eukaryota; Cercozoa; Imbricatea; Thaumatomonadida; Thaumatomastigidae
Description: partial small subunit ribosomal RNA
Rfam family: Eukaryotic small subunit ribosomal RNA
Source: RNAcentral
AGCUCCAGUAGCGUAUAUUAAAAUUGCUGCAGUUAAAAAGCUCGUAGUUGGAUUUCUGGUAAAGCAGAGCUAGCCUGGCUCCUAGAGUCUCGUGCUGGCUUUCUGUUUGCCAUCCUUCCAGAGAACGACCAUACCCUUCAUUGGGCCGUGGUUGCAAUCUGGGACUUUUACUUUGAAAAAAUUAGAGUGUUCAAAGCAGGCGUUUCCGCUGUGAAUACAUUAGCAUGGAAUAAUAAUUUAGGACUUUGGUUCUAUUUUGUUGGUUCUAGGACCGAAGUAAUGAUUGAUAGGGAUAGUUGGGGGUGCUAGUAUUCAGCGGCCAGAGGUGAAAUUCUUGGAUUCGCUGAAGACUAACUUAUGCGAAAGCAUUCACCAAGGAUGUCUUCUUUA